AGGCUCACUUUGAGAUAGCCUCUUAUGAGGUCAGCAUUGAUCGGGAUUUGCAUGCCGUACAGGUGCAUCAGCGACUAUGUUGCAUCCAUGUGCUUUGUCCGUCACUGCUGUCAUUCUGUCGUGGUCCCCAUGGGAACAACAGCGAAGGAGGAGAUGGCUCAAUUUUGGGAUAAAAACACCCAGUCGAACCGUCCCAUGUCCCCUCAUAUCACCGUCUACAAGUGGUCUCUGCCCAUGAUGAUGUCCAUCGGCCACCGUGGCACUGGUGUUGCAAUGAGUGCAGGAGUCUCUCUCUUUGGCCUGGCUGCCUUGAUUCUCCCAGAACAGUUCCCCUAUUACCUGGCAUUUGUGAAAUCGCUGAGCCUGGGGCCUGCUCUGAUCUACUCUGCUAAGUUUGUUUUGGCUUUCCCCCUCACCUACCACACCUGGAACGGAAUCCGACACCUUAUGUGGGACAUAGGAAAAGGAUUUAAGAUUCCCCAAGUCUACCAGUCUGGAGUCCUGGUCCUGGUCUUGACCCUGCUUUCCUCUGCUGGACUCGCAGCCAUGUGAAGGCACCUCCCUCCUGAAGCCCUCCCUUCUCCUACAGGGAUUUGAUUCAUCUGGUGAUCUGAUCCAGACAGAGCUCAGUAUGUGUGUAUGGAGCCCUGAGUGAUGUGCUGUCUCCAGCUAUCCUAGCCCAGCGGUUUCCCAGAACACCCUUCCAGAAUGCCACGGGCAGGAGUCCCAGGCCAGGAUGUUCAAGACUCUAGGUAGCCACAAGCAGCUGGUAACUGACAGCUGAUUAGCAGUUGAUUCCGAUCCACUUAGAGCAUGCUCAGAGGAGCUGCCUUCCUUAAUUCAUUGCUGUUCUUUCAAACUAACUCUGGUUCACUUGCUUUCUGCUCUGCCCUGAAGCUUGAGACAAUACUGGCACUGUGUGCCCCCUCACUGGGCCUGAGCGGGGUUGGGGGAGGAGAUGCGAGUGCCUCUAGCCUAGCGUCUGUGUGUAGGCUCACGUAAAAGACAACUGUCCCCAUUGAUGCUGGUGCUGGUUCUAGGGCAAGCAGAGACUGAGCCGCCGACGCCAGCGCCCGUGAUGCUAGUAAGGGGAAUGAGGAAUUUGAUGCUGUCUUGGGUACAAUGCCUAACUGCUGGAAUCUGGCUUUCUGCUGCAGUCAGCAUCCUGUGGGCUUUACAGUGGGGAGAGGGGCAGCCUGUAGCGAGCCCAGUGCUUGGGGGCUGAGUAUGUUGAGUUCCAAGUGCUCUGUGCAGCAGCUCACAACUCUUCCAGCCGAUCAAGGAUAAGCACCUGUAUAUUUUUGGAGUCUUCAAUCAAAUCUGUUCUUUUUUUUUCCCUCUGAAAAUCUGUUCUUUGAACCUUUUGGAUGAGUGCCAAUGCCACAGUCUCCCCCCACUGUGUACUGUCACUCCAGCCCGUGUGUUUGUAACAGACCCACCCUCCCCAGUAAAGCAGGCUUGCUCUUCCACACCGCACGCUGGCAGCUGAGUUCUUGGUACAGAUUUUUCAAAUGAGCUGCCAUUUUGGCUUUUCGAUAGACUCUAAUGCAACAUCCGAAAUUUGAACAGAGACGCAUGGAGAAUUUACCCUGAGUGGAUGGAGAAUGUCGUGUUCUUUUCAGAGAAGCAGUGCAGAGGUGUGUGGUAUGAUAUGGGAGUCGGGGCCCUCUGAUCUCAUGUAAUGGAGCCCAUAGUGACUGGCUACACCUUUGGUAUGCAGUUGAGAAGCCUGACACUGUGGGCCUGCACCCCAUGGUCAUUUACACUGAUGUGAAAUGCUCCCGGCUCAGUGUGGUGGCAUUUCAGACCCAGUCCGUGCUCGCUUUGUGCUAGUGCCCCAGGUGCAGGCUGCUGGAGAGUCCGCCCAGGGGGCUAGAGAUUGCGGCUAAAACCCAGUGUGCUCCAGUAGUUGCAUUUACACUUGGAGACUUGGUUCUGCUCUAACAAGUGACUGUAAAAAUGGCCCCUUCCUAUUUAGGGGCUCUGCCUCCUCUAUGGAGCAGUUGGAGCUGUUGACUCUACUGUCUGCAGGAAGGGUUUUCCUCCCCCUCUAUUGAUGCUGUGGAGCCAGCAUGGACUGUCCUGAAACAUGAAUUCCGCUGGCUCCAGAGUGGCUCCAGGACAGCAAUAGCAGCACAAGGUUCCUCCCACACAGUGCUUCAGCUCUGGGUGCUUUGGUGUCCAAUGCCUAGUGAGGGUUUGGCCUCGGAGAGUAACAGUGACGUUAUGACUCCCCUGACAGCACUAGGCCCUAGUGUGCACUACCUGCAGAUGCAUUUACCACUGGGUUGUCAUGGGGUUAAGAAGCCUGUGGCUAUAACCACUCGAGCCUGUGCUGGUGGCAGAGCAGUGUGGGGGGAGUGCCCUAUAACUGUCAGUGAAGGUGCAGACCCAGAGAGGCAGUGGUGCAUGGGCACCUCUCCCGGAGGAGGCAGAGAGAUGAUUUCCCUUCCCUUCCAAAGUCAUGGAGCCAGCAAACAGUGCUGCCUUUUGGUGGCUACCAGUUUUAGUCUUUCACUGGUAAUUCCCCCACCCCAAGUGAGCCAGUGAGUAGUGACCAAACAGAAGCAUGGACUGAUCUGGAGGCCUCAGUGGUAAGGUCAGGGCCUGGUGCAAGUGGUGACCAUGGACAGAGGAGUGUCUGCUUAAAGUGCCCUGAAAAGCAUUUAUGCAAGAUGGGGUGUGGGUGCCGUGUCUGUGCUGGAUCAGAAGGCCUGGCAGGGGCUGAAAGGAUUUUUUGCUUUUAGAAAUAUUAGCAGCGUCCAGUCUGCUUGUCCUGGUUUUGCUGUGGGAUGUCUGUCCGGGGUCUCAGGAUAUCUAUGAAGGGAGCACUAAAAGCCCUAGCUAAGAGGGAAGAGGUGGAGUCUUUGGCAAAGGCUUCCUUUAUCCAAAGGGUUAGUCACUGACAUUAGAUUCAUCAAUUCCAAGGCCAGAAAGGACCACUGUGAUCAUCUUGUCUGACCCCUGGGAUAACACAGGAGAGAAACGCCUCAAAAUAAUUCAUAGAGCAGAGCUUUUAGAAAAAUGUCCAAACUUGAACUAAAAAUUGUCGCAAGGGAGAAUACCUUGGUAAAUUGUUCCAAUGGUUAAUUACUCUCAUAGUAAAAAAUUUACACUUUAUUUUCAGUCUGAAUCUUUCUAGCUUCAACUUCCAUCCCCUAGAUCGUGUUAUACUUUUCUCUGAUACACUGAAGAGCUCAUUAUUAAAUAUUUGUUCCCCAUGUAGAUACUUACAGACUUUGAUCAAAUCACCCCUUAACCAUCUUUUUGUUAAACUAAGUAGAUUGACCACCUUGAGUCUGUCACUGUAAGGCAUGUUUUCUAAUCCUUUAAUCAUUCUCAUGGCUUUCCAAACCCUCCCCAAUUUAUCAAUAUCCUCCUUGAAUUCUGGACUUCAGAACUGGACACAGGAUUCCAGCAGCGGUCGGUCGUAUCAGUGCCCAGUACAGAGGUAAAAUAACCCCUCUACUUCUACUUGAGAUUCCAGUUUAUGUAUCCAGAGAUUGAGCUGAUUAUCCACCAUGAUCCUCCAGUCUUUUUCACAGUCAGUGCUUCCCAGGAAAAGAGCCCCCCGUUGUGCAUGUAUGACUGACAUUCAUUGUUCUUAGAUGUAUAUGUUUACAUUUAGCCAUGUUAAAAUGCAUAUUGUUUGCUUCCGCCCGGUUUACCAAGUAUCCAGAUUGCUGUGUCAGUGACCUGUCAUCUUCAUUACUUACAAAAAUUGGGGGAGUGGUA
Mauremys reevesii (Reeves's turtle) is the source of this 3735-nucleotide RNA transcript. It is a transcript of the gene named succinate dehydrogenase complex subunit C, with no coding region annotated. Lineage: Eukaryota; Metazoa; Chordata; Testudines; Geoemydidae. The record is from RefSeq and is a predicted model, not a curated record. The transcript has 6 exons.